GUUAGGAAUAUUGGACAAUGGGCGCAAGCCUGAUCCAGCCAUGCCGCGUGAGUGAUGAAGGCCUUCGGGUUGUAAAGCUCUUUAGUCCACGAAUAUAAUGACUGUAGUGGAAGAAUAAGCCCCGGCUAACUUCGUGCCAGCAGCCGCGGUAAUACGAAGGGGGCGAGCGUUAUUCGGAAUCACUGGGCGUAAAGCGUGCGUAGGCUGUUUUGUAAGUCAGAAGUGAAAGCACAGGGCUUAACCCUGGAAUUGCUUUGGAAACUACAAGACUCGAAUUCGGGAGAGGAUAGCGGAAUUGUCAGUGUAGCAGUGAAAUGCGUAGAUAUUGACAGGAACACCAGUGGCGCAAGCGGCUAUCUGGACCGAUAUUGACGCUGAGGCACGAAAGCGUGGGGAGCAAACAGGAUUAGAAACCCGAGUAGUCC
Molecule: ribosomal RNA, 425 nt
Filed under: uncultured bacterium
Lineage: Bacteria
Description: partial 16S ribosomal RNA
Rfam family: Bacterial small subunit ribosomal RNA
Source: RNAcentral